Molecule: long non-coding RNA, 521 nt
Organism: Leucoraja erinaceus (little skate)
Lineage: Eukaryota; Metazoa; Chordata; Chondrichthyes; Rajiformes; Rajidae
Exons: 2
Source: RefSeq, a predicted model, not a curated record
CGCACUCCCCGCCCUCCAGGAUCUACCUGCCAAUCACGGCUCUCUUGUGGGGACCUGCUUUUCCUGGAGAGGUGCCCGCCCACAGUCUCACUGAUCAUAAACAGCAGCAGCUGGUGGGACAGGAACCAUAGUCCACCACACUGCAAGCUGAACACUCUGAAUUACUCUCGAAGCGAUGAUCGCGCUGGUUCUACUCGUUGGCGUCCUGCUCUUGAGCCAGGGCGUCCAGAUAGGGGAACCGUCUUCUCUGCGCUGCGAUAAAGUGGCGGGACAUUGCCUCGCGUCGCCCUGCCCGGACGGGUAUAAUGAGGAAAUUGGCUUCUGCGACGACGGCACAAGUUGCUGCUACAUGUGACCCCAACCCUUCCCCACCCCACAAUGAGAUUCUAAACAGAGCAUGGAAACUCCGUCAGUCUCUUUUUGGGAGAUCAAGAUGUGUUUUGGGAGAUGGGAGCCAACACGUACUGAUGCCGGACAAGCGAGAAGAGAGACAAGCGCUGAAAUAAAGCCAUGAACAUAAA